GAAGUUAUUAACUUGGAUUGAAUUAAGUUUAAUAUGGCAGUAAGUAAAUCAAUAUGAGAAGGUAGGUUUUGUAUAGGGUAUAAAAGGAAUUGUGAGAAGGUUAGUGUGAGUACUGUGAGGGAAAUUUGAAAUAGAUGAAAUAUAAAUUAGUUAAAAAGUAGGUUUGGUGCUGUACCUUUUGUAUCAGGGUUUAUUAAAUAAUGGGAAAGAUUUUAAAGUCUCGAUGCAAGGAGGGCUAUUCUAUUAAACUAUAUAAGGUGGUAAACUUAUUUGGAAUAGGAGAAUAGGAACGAAAAGUUAAUCGAUCUUUGUGGUUUCUAGUUUCCUAAGAAAUAAAUUUAAUUUAGGAAUGGUCAGAAUUUUGAAGAUUGGGUUUGGGAUUUAAGAUCAUUCUACUGGCUUGAGGGAUAAGCUUUGGGCUAGGAUUAAAACUUAAGAUUAUAGGAAAGUUUGUAGGCUUGAAAGUAGCCAUCGGAGAAGGAUGUUAUAAUUUAUUUUCUUUAGUAUGAAUUUUAUUAGGUUUAGUUAAGUAUUAGGAGACUGUUUUCAACUGGGGAAACGGGGCAUAAUGAUAAAAUAAGUACAAAAUGUUUGUAAAAUAAGUAAUUUUAGUAAGGAACUCGGCAAAUAAAGCGCUCGCCUGUUUAUCAAAAACAUCGCCUUUUGGAGAAAUAGAAGGUCUGACCUGCCCACUGAAGAAAGUUAAAGGGCCGCGGUAUUUUGACCGUGCAAAGGUAGCAUAAUCAUUAGUCUUCUAAUUAAAGGCUGGAAUGAAUGGUUGGACGAGGUGCUAGCUGUCUCACUAAAAUGAUUUUGAAUUUAGCUUUUUAGUCAAAAGGCUGAAAUGAAGUUGGAGGACGAGAAGACCCUAUAGAGCUUUACAUUAAACUUUUUUAAUUUGUUUUGUAAGACCUUAAUUUUAAAAGGUAAAUGUUUCGUUGGGGUGACGGGAAGAUAAGAAUAACUCUUUUUAAAAUUUUACAUUGAUGAGUGAAUAGUUGAUCCAUUUAUAAUGAUUAAAAGGCUAAGUUACCUUAGGGAUAACAGCGUAAUCUUUUUUGAGAGUUCUAAUCGACGAAAAGGGUUGCGACCUCGAUGUUGGACUAAGGGCUAUUUUUGGGUGUAGCAGCUCAAAGUUUAGGUCUGUUCGACCUUUGAAUCCUUACAUGAUCUGAGUUCAGACCGGCGUAAGCCAGGUCGGUUUCUAUCCUCAAUUAGCUGAAAUAUUUUAGUACGAAAGGACCAAAUAUUUAAGAUAUUCUUAAGUAGUGAAUAAUAUUAACUA
Molecule: ribosomal RNA, 1285 nt
Filed under: Afronurus rubromaculatus
Lineage: Eukaryota; Metazoa; Arthropoda; Insecta; Ephemeroptera; Heptageniidae
Description: 16S ribosomal RNA
Rfam family: Archaeal large subunit ribosomal RNA (bases 560-1285)
Source: RNAcentral